GUCAAUAGCCAUAUCACCCUGAACACGCCCAAUCUUGUCUGAUCUCAGAAGCUAAGCAGGGUCGGGCCUGCUUAGUACUUGGAUUGGAGAAAUGUUUUAACAAGCUUCUUGCUACUAAGU
This 120-nucleotide ribosomal RNA is filed under the name Jaculus jaculus (lesser Egyptian jerboa). Lineage: Eukaryota; Metazoa; Chordata; Mammalia; Rodentia; Dipodidae. The record is from RNAcentral.